This 1434-nucleotide ribosomal RNA is filed under the name uncultured organism. Its description in RNAcentral is "SSU rRNA". It matches the Rfam family "Bacterial small subunit ribosomal RNA". The record is from RNAcentral.
GGCUUAACACAUGCAAGUCGAGGGGCAUCAGGAAGAAAGCUUGCUUUCUUUGCUGGCGACCGGCGCACGGGUGAGUAACACGUAUCCAACCUGCCCUUUACUCGGGGAUAGCCUUUCGAAAGAAAGAUUAAUACCCGAUAGCAUAAUGAUUCCGCAUGGUUUCAUUAUUAAAGGAUUCCGGUAAAGGAUGGGGAUGCGUUCCAUUAGGUUGUUGGUGGGGUAACGGCCCACCAAGCCUUCGAUGGAUAGGGGUUCUGAGAGGAAGGUCCCCCACAUUGGAACUGAGACACGGUCCAAACUCCUACGGGAGGCAGCAGUGAGGAAUAUUGGUCAAUGGGCGCUAGCCUGAACCAGCCAAGUAGCGUGAAGGAUGAAGGCUCUAUGGGUCGUAAACUUCUUUUAUAUAAGAAUAAAGUGCAGUAUGUAUACUGUUUUGUAUGUAUUAUAUGAAUAAGGAUCGGCUAACUCCGUGCCAGCAGCCGCGGUAAUACGGAGGAUCCGAGCGUUAUCCGGAUUUAUUGGGUUUAAAGGGAGCGUAGGUGGACUGGUAAGUCAGUUGUGAAAGUUUGCGGCUCAACCGUAAAAUUGCAGUUGAUACUGUCAGUCUUGAGUACAGUAGAGGUGGGCGGAAUUCGUGGUGUAGCGGUGAAAUGCUUAGAUAUCACGAAGAACUCCGAUUGCGAAGGCAGCUCACUGGACUGCAACUGACACUGAUGCUCGAAAGUGUGGGUAUCAAACAGGAUUAGAUACCCUGGUAGUCCACACAGUAAACGAUGAAUACUCGCUGUUUGCGAUAUACAGUAAGCGGCCAAGCGAAAGCAUUAAGUAUUCCACCUGGGGAGUACGCCGGCAACGGUGAAACUCAAAGGAAUUGACGGGGGCCCGCACAAGCGGAGGAACAUGUGGUUUAAUUCGAUGAUACGCGAGGAACCUUACCCGGGCUUAAAUUGCAGUGGAAUGAUGUGGAAACAUGUCAGUGAGCAAUCACCGCUGUGAAGGUGCCGCAUGGUUGUCGUCAGCUCGUGCCGUGAGGUGUCGGCUUAAGUGCCAUAACGAGCGCAACCCUUAUCUUUAGUUACUAACAGGUCAUGCUGAGGACUCUGGAGAGACUGCCGUCGUAAGAUGUGAGGAAGGUGGGGAUGACGUCAAAUCAGCACGGCCCUUACGUCCGGGGCUACACACGUGUUACAAUGGGGGGUACAGAAGGCAGCUAGCGGGUGACCGUAUGCUAAUCCCAAAAGCCUCUCUCAGUUCGGAUCGAAGUCUGCAACCCGACUUCGUGAAGCUGGAUUCGCUAGUAAUCGCGCAUCAGCCACGGCGCGGUGAAUACGUUCCCGGGCCUUGUACACACCGCCCGUCAAGCCAUGGGAGCCGGGGGUACCUGAAGUACGUAACCGCAAGGAUCGUCCUAGGGUAAAACUGGUGACUGGGGCU